This is a small nucleolar RNA of Erinaceus europaeus (western European hedgehog), 133 nucleotides long. The record is from Ensembl. Lineage: Eukaryota; Metazoa; Chordata; Mammalia; Eulipotyphla; Erinaceidae.
AGAACAACAAAAUGGAAUAAAUAUUUUUUAAAAAAGAGGCAUCAUCAAACACAGGUGCUAACAGCAAAGGGUACCUCGUUGCCUUUGGAGGACUUGUUGUGCCCAUCAAAGUGAACUUAGAGGUUCUACACAC